AGUGAACGCUGGCGGUAGGCCUAACACAUGCAAGUCGAACGGCAGCACAGUAAGAGCUUGCUCUUACGGGUGGCGAGUGGCGGACGGGUGAGGAAUACAUCGGAAUCUACUUUUUCGUGGGGGAUAACGUAGGGAAACUUACGCUAAUACCGCAUACGACCUACGGGUGAAAGCAGGGGAUCUUCGGACCUUGCGCGAUUGAAUGAGCCGAUGUCGGAUUAGCUAGUUGGCGGGGUAAAGGCCCACCAAGGCGACGAUCCGUAGCUGGUCUGAGAGGAUGAACAGACACACUGGAACUGAGACACGGUCCAGACUACUACGGGAGGCAGCAGUGGGGAAUAUUGGACAAUGGGCGCAAGCAUGAUACAGCAAUACCGCGUGGGUGAAGAAGGACUUCGGGUUGUAAAGCCCUUUUGUUGGGAAAGAAAAGCAGCAGGUUAAAACCACGCUGUUAUGACGGUAACCAAAGAAUAAGCACCGGCUAACUUCGUG
RNAcentral lists this ribosomal RNA (492 nucleotides) under uncultured bacterium. Its description in RNAcentral is "partial 16S ribosomal RNA". It matches the Rfam family "Bacterial small subunit ribosomal RNA", at positions 29 to 507 of the family's 1533-position model. The record is from RNAcentral.